GUUCGGUGGAAACGAGAAUAAAACGUGAAGGAUAACGUUGCGUCAGCAACGACCCGUAGGGCGAGGCAAAGCCGAGUCAUCCUGCACGACCCACCA
Molecule: small RNA, 96 nt
Filed under: Salmonella enterica subsp. enterica serovar Muenchen
Lineage: Bacteria; Pseudomonadati; Pseudomonadota; Gammaproteobacteria; Enterobacterales; Enterobacteriaceae
Also listed under: 8 other names
Description: partial RtT sRNA
Rfam family: RtT RNA
About the family: This family represents a bacterial cis-regulatory element known as RtT RNA. The exact function of RtT is unknown although it is thought that it may be involved in changing the cellular response in relation to amino acid starvation.
Source: RNAcentral